RNAcentral lists this ribosomal RNA (309 nucleotides) under uncultured Planctomycetota bacterium. RNAcentral describes it as "bacterial SSU rRNA". It matches the Rfam family "Bacterial small subunit ribosomal RNA", at positions 29 to 351 of the family's 1533-position model. Lineage: Bacteria; Pseudomonadati; Planctomycetota. The record is from RNAcentral.
AAUGAACGUUGGCGGCGUGGAUUAGGCAUGCAAGUCGUGCGAGAAGCCCCCUUCGGGGGGUGGACAGCGGCGAAAGGGAGAGUAACGCGUGGAUUACCUACCCCCGGGACCGGGAUAGCCGCGGGAAACUGCGGGUAAUACCGGAUAACGUCUCCGGACCAAAGGUGAGAUUCCGCCUGGGGAUGGGUCCGCGUCCUAUUAGCUAGUUGGUGGGGUAAUGGCCUACCAAGGCAACGAUGGGUACGAGGUGUGAGAGCAUGACCUCGCUCACUGGGACUGAGACACUGCCCAGACACCUACGGGUGGCAG